RNAcentral lists this long non-coding RNA (406 nucleotides) under Scleropages formosus (Asian bonytongue). Its description in RNAcentral is "lncRNA (ENSSFOG00015028339.1)". Lineage: Eukaryota; Metazoa; Chordata; Actinopteri; Osteoglossiformes; Osteoglossidae. The record is from RNAcentral.
AGCUGGCUUCUUGCGCUUAGGGAGUGUUUCCCAUUUAAACAAACACUACCGAAGAUGGCGGAGAGUUAAUACUAAAGAGAGAGAGAGAGCGAGAGAGAGUGUGUGUGUAUGAGAGCGAAGAAAAAAAAAAAAAAAAAAGAAAAGGUGGUCUGCUUAAAGGAAUACGUUUAAGGUGCUGGGCGGAACCGGACCGAGGCGUUGACCUGACCAGACCCCUGCUGAGAAAGCGCUUACACUGGCAUCCUCCUUCUGCCCAAGGAUGUGAAGCUGAAUGAAAGUCUGUUCUUAUCAUUCUACACUGCUGAAGAGGUAAGUUGAUGACAACCUUUUUUUUCCUUUCUUUUUUUUUUUUUAUAUAGAAAUGCAAUAGACGAAGCUAAUAAAAUCCCUCCACUCGCUCGUUCCA